This 443-nucleotide ribosomal RNA is filed under the name uncultured bacterium. RNAcentral's name for it is "bacterial SSU rRNA". It matches the Rfam family "Bacterial small subunit ribosomal RNA", at positions 29 to 486 of the family's 1533-position model. The record is from RNAcentral.
AUUGAACGCUGGCGGCAUGCCUUACACAUGCAAGUCGAGCGGCAGCGCGGGGGCAACCCUGGCGGCGAGCGGCGAACGGGUGAGUAAUGCAUCGGAACGUGUCCUCUUGUGGGGGAUAACCAGUCGAAAGACUGGCUAAUACCGCAUGAGCUCGUAAGAGGAAAGCAGGGGACCCGCAAGGGCCUUGCGCGAGAGGAGCGGCCGAUGCCCGAUUAGCUAGUUGGUGGGGUAAAAGCCUACCAAGGCGACGAUCGGUAGCUGGUCUGAGAGGACGACCAGCCACACUGGGACUGAGACACGGCCCAGACUCCUACGGGAGGCAGCAGUGGGGAAUUUUGGACAAUGGGGGCAACCCUGAUGCAGCGACGCCGCGUGGGUGAGGAAGUUCUUCGGAAUGUAAAGCCCUUUUGACCGGGAAGAAUCAAUUGACGGUACCGGUCGAA